Molecule: non-coding RNA, 375 nt
Organism: Notolabrus celidotus (New Zealand spotty)
Lineage: Eukaryota; Metazoa; Chordata; Actinopteri; Labriformes; Labridae
Source: the annotation of a RefSeq genome assembly
AUGAUCAUCUUAUUCCUGAUCAUUCAUUUCAACAUCUUUCUGGUGUCAGGUUCCUCUGUCGACAAAGAAGUCACCCAGACUCCAGCUCACGUUUACAUCAAACCAGGAGAGAAAACAACAACACUCAACUGUAGACAUGAAAUUAAAGACUAUAAUCGAAUCCUCUGGUACAAGCAGUCAGACGAGGAGAUGAUGUUCCUGGGAUAUGUGUUUAUGAGCAAUCCAAACCCAGAGCCAGGCGUGAAGGUGAAGAUGGGAGGGAGUGCAGAUAAAGGCAAGAACUGCACAUUAACAAUCAAAGAAGUGGAUCUGAACAGCAGUGCAGUGUAUUUCUGUGCUUUCACAGCCCCUUACACCUGUUUCAAAGUCCUCUAA